Molecule: ribosomal RNA, 513 nt
Filed under: Triticum aestivum (bread wheat)
Lineage: Eukaryota; Viridiplantae; Streptophyta; Magnoliopsida; Poales; Poaceae
Description: partial small subunit ribosomal RNA
Source: RNAcentral
UGGGAACAUUAUCUUCACCCUCAUGAAUUUAUCAUCCAUACCGAUCAUGAAACGCUUAAGUACUUAAAAGGCCAAACUAAGUUGAACAAGCGUCAUGCAAAAUGGAGUGAAUUCACUGAGUCUUUUCCUUAUGUUAUCAAGUACAUCAAGGGUAAGGAAAAUGUAGUGGCGGAUGCCCUUUCCCGCAUAUGCAUGCUAGUCACUAAACUUGAAUUGAGUGUCAUUGGCUUUGAGCACAUGAAAGACUUGUAUGUGCAUGAUCCUACUGUUGCUAUUCCUUAUGCUAAGUGUUUGAUGCAUACAUCUUGGGAACGAUAUUACAUCAAGGAUGAUUAUCUUAUGAGAGCUAACAAACUUUGCAUUCCCGAGUCUUCUUUUCGUUUGCUCCUUUUGCAAGAGGCUCAUGGAGGCGGACUAAUGGGACACUUUGGACGCGAUAAGACAUUUGCUACGCUCUCCAAGAACUAUCUUUGGCCCAAGAUGUUCUGCAACGUCUCACGCUUCACCAACUGA